UGAUUCUGUGAUUCGACAGUCCCAGAUUUGAAAGUAUUUAGGUUUCAGACUACCUCAAACUCAGUAGUUCACGUGUACAUACCUAAUGCAUACCUAACUUCCUCAUGCACGGGUACAGAAAGAUAACUGAAUUUUUUCUUGGACGUGUGCUGUGAAAGGAUGAGAUACAAAAUGAGCACAGGUUGCAGCAAGAGAAAUUCCAGUUAGGUAUUAGGAAGACAUGUUUAACCACCAGUGUCAUAAAGCACUGCAGGAAGGGCACAGAGGGCUUGUGAAAUAAAUACCCUUCAAAACAUGACUGGACAAGAUCCUCAGUAACCUUGUCUAGUUUAGCCCUGCUCUGAAUGGGAAGUUGCACAAGAUGCCCUUCACAGCUUUCUCCCCACGUUUUGUGAUUCUAAAAUAUAUAAUGAUGCAUACUUUAGGUAAAUGUAGAGUCCAAAAUAAGUCUGAGAAACUGAAAUUCAGUUGCUCUUCCCAAGAGAUUUUGUGUAAACUUAAAAGUCAUCCAUAAUAUGUUGCUAUCAAACAGAAAUGUUUCAAAACCGUAUUGAUAUAAACAAGGCAAGAAUCAGUUUUUCAGCUGUUAAGUAGCUAAUUUUCACAGCCUGUAGCACUCAUUUCUCAAAUCUGCAGAACAAAAAAAAAGUUUGUAAGAAAAAGAAAGAAAGGUUCCAGCCUCUUGAGUGAACUGAAGAGGAGGGGUUACCUGGAGCACUGUGCUCACUCUUCUAUAGAGGAGUUAAAACAAAGGGCAGUAGUACAGCUAGAGAUGGAGACAUCAGAAAUACAAAGAAAUAGAAUUACAGCAAAGGGAAAACUAAUUUAAAAAAAAAAAAGCUUACCAUUAGAAAACUUCAAAAUUCUGUCCAGAACUGCUUUUCAAACACAAAUGUGCCAGCAUCCCCAGGGAGAGGCUUCCCUGCUGCACCCUCAGCAGCUCUGGCUUUACAGCACCGCUGCUCGUCUCCUUUCAAGCUCUGCAUUGUAAGCUAGGAUUUAGCCCUUCAAAACAUAUCAGCAAAGUCUUUGUGCACGAAUCCCUUUUUUGAAGCUAGUGCUGUAUUCCAGCUGUAGACUGAGCUCUCACGAGUGACUGUAGCUGUGUUUGGGCUGCUGUUCUGUAAAAAAUUCUCCCAUGGGUUAGAAACAGUACACAGGAAUUAGUAAUCACAAAUAGUAACAGGCAAGUAUAUUGUUGGCAUUUUUUAACUUACCAAAUCCGUUUCUUUUCUUCUUAUAGCUUACCUUCAAUCUAAUCAGGUCAUGGGCUGGGGAGAGAAGGCGAUUGAACUGCGCUCUGUGGAAACAGGGAAUCUGGAAGGAGUAUUUAUGCACAAGAAAGCGCAGAAGCUAAAAUUUCUAUGUGAAAGAAAUGACAAGGUGUUCUUUGCAUCUGUACAAUCAGGAGGCAGCAGUCAAAUUUACUUUAUGACUCUUGGUCAAAAUGUACUAUUCAACUGGUAAAUUGCAUCAGAAUGAAGGAUGCUUUGAAGUUCCCUGUAGCUAGCUGUGUAAAAUGCUUGGAGGUAAUACGUAUGAAUUUGCACUUUUUACCUACAAAAAUCUUGUCAUUAUUAUCAAAAUUCAUAUUCUUGCAGUUUGGAAAGAGUUCUAUUUUCCUGUCAAAAUCUUGUAAACACAUUUAGCUCAUCUUCUCAAACACGUCGCAAGCAAAGACUGUAUUCAUAGUGUUAGGAGAGAGCAAGUUUAAUGAAGAAUGUAUCCAAUAUAACAAGCUCCUGUACUCUGGUGAGUGCACAGUUUCUUUUAUUACAGAUAAUCUAAUGUUAUCAUCUCUCUUUUUCAGACAGCCACAUCUCUAUAUAGAUACAAAAACACAGGUUGGAUGGCAAAUCAGAAUCUGUUUUGAAUUGGUUUUUAGCUUGUUAUGUAUUUUAAGCAAGUCGUUAUUGCUUCAUGAGGACUUGCUUGUCUGAGUCAUCAGUGAAAGAGCAGAUCUUCAUGAAGGGGCCUGAUGCAGUUCAGGGUGCAGAGGGCUCGUGUCCUGUGGCCGAGAAUGGGUGUUUUUUCCUGCAGCUGUAGAGGCAGCUGCCUGCAGCCUCGUGCCCUGCGUGGUGGAUCUUACAAAAGGCAGGGAGCAGACUUUGUGUUUCUCUCAGGGCUGGAAGCCUGAGCCAAUAGACACAGUUACUGUAGAACGUAUUUGUAAAAACAGUCUGAACAGAAGUUUGUCUUAAUCAUAUACGCAGUACGGAGCAGAACUUGGAGCUUUUACUCAACCAAGGGACCCACACUCGUGGGAGUUGAUUUAAAGGCACUACCUGUGUACAUAAGCCACAGGAUUAGGCACCAUCUUUUCUUCCUUGCUUGCUCUUUUAGCAACAAGUCUUCAUGUAUUUGUAUGUAAAUAUAAUCUUUCCAAAAUGGAUAUUAACAAAUGUAUUCUGAAUAUAGUUAUGAAAAUAUCCAAAGAGUUAAUCUAUUAUAAAUAGAAAAUAUAAAUAAUUUCAGGUGCUUUCUAUGCUAAUUGCAUCAAAAUAAAGCUGCAUCCGCUAGCGUUAUCAGUGCCAGUGUUUCUGCAUAAACUUUGUUCUCAGGGGCAUGUAACUUGGCCAUAAAACUAUGCAGAGGUUCUGUGAUGAAGUCGUAGGGUUUGAUGCAGUCAUCAUUUAGCUCAUUUUCAGAUAUGCUUUGAGAGUGUAAAGCAUCAAAUGUAACACGAAAGAGCUUAUUCAAGACAUGCAGUAUGGGUGACGCUGUAGGCAAAAGUGGAAUUGAUAGCUACAGUGUUUGGAAGCAGGCGUUUUAUUACUUGAAAUAGGUGAUACUGAAAGGUGCGGGGAAAGCAUAUUGGAGUAUCUCUGGUGUCUACCUCAAGGAUGAUGAUACACAAUUUACUAAGGGGAGAAGUGAAGUUGUUAAAACUGGUAGCCCUUUUUUUACAGCGUGUCAAGCUAAGGCAGUGUCAGCAGUCGUUUGUGACUGACCGGUGCUCAGAGCGCGGCCGUCAGCUCCAGCACUGCUGUCCUUGUACAGAACUGCAGCGCAGAAUCAAAGCAGCGAGUCCUCGGCCCUUCCCGCAGUGGCUGUUGUGCUGCUGCAGGCAGAGGGGAGAUGCCUGCACCACUGCUUGUCCGUGUUCCUUGGUUAUGUGGAAGCCUGCACUUUCCGAAGUUGUCGACCUAGCCCUUCCCAUGAGCACUAGCUUAUCUCAAAACGUAUAGUGGUUUUUAUGAAGUAUUUUCCUCUGCAGUGCUUUAACUUAGAGAAGCCUAAGCCUUGCUAGAGUACACGUGCAGUUAAAGUAAACUUAAAUGCAGGCAAGUAAUCUGCUUGUGUGCACUUAAAAUCCAAGCAGUGGGCAAAGCUGCAUGAAACAGGUCUCUGUCUCUGAUAUUCCUACCUGGUGUCUGUGUCAGGGCCGUGUUUUUUACCUGGCUCUUUGCUACUGAGCACUGCGUUUAUUUUGAUCAAUUUUUACCAAAAACAAACAAACAACAGCGAGAGAACAGAAACAAAGAUGAAAGUUACAGGGAAAAGGAAAAAAAAAUUACAAUCAAUCAGAAAUAUGAUUUACUUGCUUUUACUUCCAAUAAAAAGUCUAAGAAAACUGUGAAGAAAGAACACCUUUCAUUUCCUACCCAGUGGGUGUGCAAAACUUGCUUGCAAAACUGCUCUUGCCGUAAGCAAUCAGUGACCCAGGCUGCUCGACAGUAUUUUAAAGUGUGCUUAUCACAGCAGCCUCCGCAUUACAUGGCAGGCAUAUGAAUUACUCCCCUCCUCCCACGUUGGUGCCAACAGGUAAGGAGCAGAUCUUCUUGGUGCUUGGCCCUUGUUUGAAAGGAUUUAGCAGAGAACAAUGGAAAUUUAGGCCAUCCUGCGCCAAGGGGCUAAAGAAGCAAAAUGCCAUCAAACUUGUUUAAUAUUACUGUAACAGCAACGUGUGACAGUAAGAGGAUACUGUGUGAAAAUGUUUAGCUCCACAUCAGGAAAUAACCAAAGCGAGCUUAAGAGAAGGAAGUUGUGCUACUGCAUUAAGAUUUGAAUCUCUCAUUCUGCUUCCUUCUGUUAGUCCUUUUCUUUUGAGCUGAUUCAAGUCAGUGGAUUGGACUUUCACUUUUCACUUUGCAUGUAAAAACACUGAAUUACUGAGUUUACAACCACCUGUAAAUAUGGAAAAAAUCAGGACCUUAGAGGUGAAUGCUUAUAAAGGAUUUAGAAGCAGUAUUCCGAAUAAUAAUGGCAGUUGGGUGUAACAAGAACGUGGUAUUUCCUCUUUAUCAGAGAAAAAAUUAGAGCGGGUGAGGAUGAGAAAGAGCCCAGAGAUGUUGAAAAGAGUGUGUAAGUGAGAGUGUAAGUGGCUGAAGAGGAAGGAGAAGCUGAAGAAAAUGAACAGGAGUAGCCAGAGGGAGGCAGUGGAUGUCUGGACCAGGGUAGUGCUGUGGGAGGAAUGAGAGGUUACGAAAUGUUACAGAAAGUAACCAAAGUAUCUGGAAUGGCUGGGUGGUCUGAACACUGAAUGGCAGCGAUCUGAGUGACUGCAGCUUAAAGCAAAAGUUCAAAGGCUCAAGAUAAAAAAAUUCCAGAGCCCCAAGGUUUUCCUGGCAUAAAUUUAACUAUGCAAAAUGCAUAUCAAAUUUUGUAUCGUUUUGUGAGGAGUUUCUUUAGCGGAAAGUUAGUGGAAAUACCACUAACUUUUGAUACCAAGGAGAGAACUGCUGAACUAAGUAUGGUUUUCCAGCAAUGUCUCUUCAACCCAACGCUCCAGGGACAGAAGGGCAGAACAUUACAGCUUCAUAUCAGUGUUCCACUGGUACAUGCAGUAUUCUAAUGGCAGGUGGUGCUCCUACCAUUGCGUUUGCCCUAACGAGUCUGCACUAAUACUGCAUCAAGGUAGCAGUACUGUAUGUGCCUGCUUUAAUUUGAAGAGCAGUGAGCUCUGUUCUACAGCCUGAACCUCAGCAUACGACUUCAAAACAGGGAACAACGCAAGCUGUGUACUGUACAUCAUGUAUGUGGGUUUUUUGUUGUUCCCUAAUGUAAAACCGAAACUAAUAAAAAACUGCUUUGAAAAUCAAAA
Molecule: long non-coding RNA, 5044 nt
Organism: Centrocercus urophasianus (Greater sage-grouse)
Lineage: Eukaryota; Metazoa; Chordata; Aves; Galliformes; Phasianidae
Exons: 2
Source: RefSeq, a predicted model, not a curated record